CCAGGCCCUACGGGGCGCAGCAGGCGCGAAACCUUCACAAUGCCCGAAAGGGUGAUGAGGCUACCCCGAGUGCUAUUCGCAGAGAAUAGCUUUUGUUAGGUCUAAAAAGCCUAGCGAAUAAGGGGAGGGUAAGACUGGUGUCAGCCGCCGCGGUAAUACCAGCUCCCCGACUGGUCGGGAUGAUUAUUGGGCCUAAAGCGUCCGUAGCCGGUCCUUUGUGUGAUUCGUUAAAUCUAGCGGCUCAACCGCUGGGCUGCGAAUCAUACUAUAGGGCUAGGGGGCGGGAGAGGCUAAAGGUACUCCAUGGGUAGGGGUAAAAUCCGCUGAUCCGUGGAAGACCAACAGUGGCGAAGGCGUUUAGCCAGAACGCGCCCGACGGUGAGGGACGAAAGCUAGGGGAGCAAACCGGAUUAGAUACCCGGGUAGUCCUAGCUGUAAACGACGCUCGCUAGGUCUUGGAAGAGCUUUGUGCUCUGCCAGGGCCGCAGGGAAGCCGUUAAGCGAGCCGCCUGGGGAGUACGGCCGCAAGGCCGAAACUUAAAGGAAUUGGCGGGGGAGCACCACAAGGGGUGAAGCCUGCGGUUUAAUUUGGAGUCAACGCCGGGAACCUUACCAGGGGUUGACGGCAGAGUGAUGGUCAGGCUAAAGACCUUACCUGACAAGCCCAGAAGAAGUGCAUGGCCGUCGCCAGCUCGUGCUGUGAAAUGUCCUGGUAAGUCAGGGCAACGAGCGAGACCCCUGCUGGUAGUUGCUUCUUUGUUUCCCAAAAGGUAAUUGAGGGGGAAACUAACCAGGACUGCCGCCCAAUAAAGGCG
This 815-nucleotide ribosomal RNA is filed under the name uncultured crenarchaeote. RNAcentral describes it as "bacterial SSU rRNA". It matches the Rfam family "Archaeal small subunit ribosomal RNA", at positions 316 to 1121 of the family's 1478-position model. The record is from RNAcentral. Lineage: Archaea; Thermoproteati; Thermoproteota.